Long non-coding RNA from Suricata suricatta (meerkat), 442 nucleotides. RefSeq lists it as uncharacterized. The record is from RefSeq and is a predicted model, not a curated record. NCBI's taxonomy places the organism in Eukaryota, Metazoa, Chordata, Mammalia, Carnivora, Herpestidae. The transcript is spliced from 3 exons.
GUGAAAUGGUAUAAACCCUUUCAGUCAAAUGGAUAUGACUUGAAAGGAUCAGACCUGAACCACUGUGAUCAUGGGCUGAAGGAGCAAGGAGUGGUCUAGAUCAGCAGGGCAGUUUAGUGCUGCUCUCAGGAGCAACCCACAGCACUUUGGAGGAAGGGGAGGUAGUGCGGCGGGAUGCAGAGCCCUGCCCAGAGGCUGGAGCCCCUCCGGGAAACAAGAGUGAACAGCAGCUCCCUUGCUGCCUCGCCAGCCUGCAGACUUUCAGCUUCCCUGUCCAGCGGAGCCGCGGUGAAGAUGGUGCCAGUGACGGGGUCGAUUUUAAGCCAGCCUCUCGGGUCGCCUCUCAGAGAAUAACUUUGUAAAGUGAAAAGAACAGAAGAAAACCCACAUUACUCUGUGUGGAGAUAGUCUAUGGGUUUCUAUGCCACUGUAUCAGCUUAGC